GACGAACGCUGGCGGCGUGCUUAACACAUGCAAGUCGAGCGGUAAGGCCCUUUCGGGGGUACGACGAGCGGCGAACGGGUAGAGUAACACGUGGGUGGACCUCGCCCUCCAGCUCUGGGAGUAAGCCUGGGAAACGUAGGGUCGUAAUACCGGAUAUGACUCCAUGACGCAUGUUGUGGGGUGGAAAGCCUUGUGCGGCUGAGGAUGGGCCCGCGGCCUAUCAGCUUGUUGGUGGGGUGAUGGCCUACCAAGGCGACGACGGGUAGCCGGCCUGAGAGGGCGACCGGCCACACUGGGACUGAGACACGGCCCAGACUCCUACGGGA
This 326-nucleotide ribosomal RNA is filed under the name uncultured bacterium. RNAcentral describes it as "bacterial SSU rRNA". It matches the Rfam family "Bacterial small subunit ribosomal RNA", at positions 28 to 346 of the family's 1533-position model. The record is from RNAcentral.